RNAcentral lists this ribosomal RNA (429 nucleotides) under Chloroflexota bacterium. RNAcentral's name for it is "Chloroflexi bacterium partial 16S ribosomal RNA". It matches the Rfam family "Bacterial small subunit ribosomal RNA", at positions 355 to 776 of the family's 1533-position model. Lineage: Bacteria; Bacillati; Chloroflexota. The record is from RNAcentral.
UGGGGAAUAUUGCACAAUGGGCGCAAGCCCGAUGCAGCCAUGCCGCGUGUAUGAAGAAGGUCUUCGGGUUGUAAAGUACUUUCAGCGGGGAGGAAGGGUGUAAAGUUAAUACCUUUGCUCAUUGACGUUACCCGCAGAAGAAGCACCGGCUAACUCCGUGCCAGCAGCCGCGGUAAUACGGAGGGUGCAAGCGUUAAUCGGAAUUACUGGGCGUAAAGCGCACGCAGGCGGUCUGUCAAGUCGGAUGUGAAAUCCCCAGGCGCAACCAUGGAACUGCAUUCGAAACUGGCAGGCUAGAGACUUGUAGAGGGGGGUAGAAUUCCAGGUGUAGCGGUGAGAUGCGUAGAGAUCUGGGGGAGUACCGGUGGCGAAGACGGCCCCCUAGACAAAGACUGGCGCUCAGGUGCGAAAACGUGGGGAGCAAACAGG